RNAcentral lists this ribosomal RNA (497 nucleotides) under uncultured bacterium. Its description in RNAcentral is "partial 16S ribosomal RNA". It matches the Rfam family "Bacterial small subunit ribosomal RNA", at positions 28 to 507 of the family's 1533-position model. The record is from RNAcentral.
GAUGAACGCUGGCGGCGUGCCUAAUACAUGCAAGUCGAGCGAACGGACGAGAAGCUUGCUUCUCUGAUGUUAGCGGCGGACGGGUGAGUAACACGUGGAUAACCUACCUAUAAGACUGGGAUAACUUCGGGAAACCGGAGCUAAUACCGGAUGAUAUUUUGAACCGCAUGGUUCAAAAGUGAAAGACGGUCUUGCUGUCACUUAUAGAUGGAUCCGCGCUGCAUUAGCUAGUUGGUAAGGUAACGGCCUACCAAGGCAACGAUGCAUAGCCGACCUGAGAGGGUGAUCAGCCACACUGGAACUGAGACACGGUCCAGACUCCUACGGGAGGCAGCAGUAGGGAAUCUUCCGCAAUGGGCGAAAGCCUGACGGAGCAACGCCGCGUGAGUGAUGAAGGUCUUCGGAUCGUAAAACUCUGUUAUUAGGGAAGAACAUAUGUGUAAGUAACUGUGCACAUCUUGACGGUACCUAAUCAGAAAGCCACGGCUAACUACGUG